This 535-nucleotide ribosomal RNA is filed under the name Escherichia coli. Its description in RNAcentral is "bacterial SSU rRNA". It matches the Rfam family "Bacterial small subunit ribosomal RNA", at positions 998 to 1533 of the family's 1533-position model. The record is from RNAcentral. Lineage: Bacteria; Pseudomonadati; Pseudomonadota; Gammaproteobacteria; Enterobacterales; Enterobacteriaceae.
CUGUAGAGAUACGGGGGUGCCUUCGGGAACUGUGAGACAGGUGCUGCAUGGCUGUCGUCAGCUCGUGUUGUGAAAUGUUGGGUUAAGUCCCGCAACGAGCGCAACCCUUAUCCUUUGUUGCCAGCGGUCCGGCCGGGAACUCAAAGGAGACUGCCAGUGAUAAACUGGAGGAAGGUGGGGAUGACGUCAAGUCAUCAUGGCCCUUACGACCAGGGCUACACACGUGCUACAAUGGCGCAUACAAAGAGAAGCGACCUCGCGAGAGCAAGCGGAUCUCAUAAAGUGCGUCGUAGUCCGGAUUGGAGUCUGCAACUCGACUCCAUGAAGUCGGAAUCGCUAGUAAUCGUGGAUCAGAAUGCCACGGUGAAUACGUUCCCGGGCCUUGUACACACCGCCCGUCACACCAUGGGAGUGGGUUGCAAAAGAAGUAGGUAGCUUAACCUUCGGGAGGGCGCUUACCACUUUGUGAUUCAUGACUGGGGUGAAGUCGUAACAAGGUAACCGUAGGGGAACCUGCGGUUGGAUCACCUCCUUA